RNAcentral lists this ribosomal RNA (468 nucleotides) under uncultured bacterium. Its description in RNAcentral is "partial 16S ribosomal RNA". It matches the Rfam family "Bacterial small subunit ribosomal RNA", at positions 28 to 507 of the family's 1533-position model. The record is from RNAcentral.
GACGAACGCUGGCGGCGUGCUUAACACAUGCAAGUCGAACGGAAAGGCCCUGCUUUUGUGGGGUGCUCGAGUGGCGAACGGGUGAGUAACACGUGAGUAACCUGCCCUUGACUUUGGGAUAACUUCAGGAAACUGGGGCUAAUACCGGAUAGGAGCUCCUGCUGCAUGGUGGGGGUGGGAAAGUUUCGGCGGUUGGGGAUGGACUCGCGGCUUAUCAGCUUGUGGGUGGGGUAGUGGCUUACCAAGGCUUUGACGGGUAGCCGGCCUGAGAGGGUGACCGGCCACAUUGGGACUGAGAUACGGCCCAGACUCCUACGGGAGGCAGCAGUGGGGAAUAUUGCACAAUGGGCGGAAGCCUGAUGCAGCAACGCCGCGUGCGGGAUGACGGCCUUCGGGUUGUAAACCGCUUUCGCCUGUGACGAAGCGUGAGUGACGGUAAUGGGUAAAGAAGCACCGGCUAACUACGUG